UAAGCAAGAUAUGAAAUCGUACGGCUCAACCGUAUAUCCGUAUUUUGAACUGAUUAAACUAGAGGGCGAGAGAGGUUAUUGGAAUUUCUUGUGUAGGAGUGAAAUCCGUAGAUAUAAGAAGGAACACCGAUGGCGUAGGCAGAUAACUGGCUCGCACCUGACACUGAGGCACGAAAGCGUGGGGAGCAAACGGGAUUAGAUACCCCGGUAGCCCACGCCGUAAACUAUGGAUGCUA
RNAcentral lists this ribosomal RNA (236 nucleotides) under uncultured Candidatus Saccharibacteria bacterium. RNAcentral's name for it is "partial 16S ribosomal RNA". It matches the Rfam family "Bacterial small subunit ribosomal RNA", at positions 584 to 818 of the family's 1533-position model. Lineage: Bacteria; Candidatus Saccharimonadota. The record is from RNAcentral.